AUCCAGCUAACGAGUCCCAUACAGGACGAAACGCGCGUCAUGGAU
This 45-nucleotide non-coding RNA is filed under the name Schistosoma margrebowiei. Lineage: Eukaryota; Metazoa; Platyhelminthes; Trematoda; Strigeidida; Schistosomatidae. The record is from RNAcentral.